GAGAGAGAGAGGAGGAAUGAUGAGAUAAAGUCGAUAAAUGAAAUUACAAUUAAUUAUUACAAUGUCCAAAUAUUUAGUAAUUUAUCUUCAAAAUGGAUGUACAAACUGAAGUAUGUAACAGUUUCCGAAACCAUUGGAACUCAGAUCAAAAUCAGAACCAGUUUAAAUAAACUAAAGCCGAAUUCAAUUCCAGUUCGUUCAUUAUUCAACCCUGCAUCGCAUAUUCAGGCCAGAACCGGUGGCGAAGUAUGGAAGCUGUUCUCCACACGAGAAAUUGAAUUGAAGAAAAAAACAGAGGAUAACAACCUUGGGCAUCUUGAAUUUUUUUUUUUAAAACGUUUGCCCACUCAGACAGCAAUUGUGAUUUCUGUACAAAUGAAAAACAGCAGCUACAAUCAUACCCUUAUCUUCAAAAUUAUUCUACAUAUCCUACUCAUUAGAGGAUUAUAUUAGCUAACAAGAAUAGAAGAAAGGCCCUUGAUACAAUCUUCAACCCUGCGAAACACUUCCCCGAGAAAUGUUAUUAUGACUUCCCUCCCAUCCGCAUAACUGCCCACUGCCAGUUUCUUCAGUUACAAAAUUGUCCAACCUAGAAAUGGACAUGCCACACUGACAAAUCUACACAAAACCCAAAGAGAAUUAAAAUCCACCUUCAACUAUUUCAAAGAUCUACGCCAUCAGCAGGAAAGCAUUUAUUCAUGUUGCCCCAGAACUUGCAGCAACUCCUCCACUGCCAUCUCUUAACCCUUGGAGGCAUAAAUUCAGUGUUCUUUGCACACUAUCUGCAACGAUUCUCAAUCUUCCUUGGGUAACAUCUCCAGUGGAACAUCCAUUUAUUUCAACAGUUCGAAUCACUCUCUGUUUACAUUUUUCCCACUCAUCAACACGCAACCAGCAAGCUCUUCCUCCAUGGCUUCCUUCCAUGCUAAGGAAAGUCACAUUAUUGUUUUCCCCGAAUGAAUAUCUCAACCUCACCGAGACACAAUAGGGCAACCAAGCAGCACCACCAGCAGCAUUAACAUGAGGUAUAUGAGCAGGAUCAAGAACAACAGUAAGUGCAAAAUCAACAGAACUAUGGGGCCGAUCAUAGUGAAUAUUGCUUUUAGCUGCAGAUGAAUUCUCAGAUUUGUCAUUCUCAUUUAACCCAGCAUGAUUUUCAAGGCACAAUUCAAUACGAGGUUUUUGUCCAGGAGCUAUUUCUCCACCUUGCACCUGAGUCAAUCCUUUUUUCCAUGCAAUCAAUUUUAGAAAUUCUCUCAAUACUGAUAUUGGCAAGGUGAGAAGGGUAAUGAAUGAUGCAACACGAGAUGCAUCAUAGGGUUCUGACGCUACACGGCGACUGAAAUAGUCACAUAUCUCUCCUAUUUCAGAUUGAGUAAGUUCUUCUUGAGAAGUCACGGAGUUCUGUUGCUGUUGUUGCUGCUGUU
RNAcentral lists this unclassified non-coding RNA (1427 nucleotides) under Hevea brasiliensis (rubber tree). Lineage: Eukaryota; Viridiplantae; Streptophyta; Magnoliopsida; Malpighiales; Euphorbiaceae. The record is from RNAcentral.